Long non-coding RNA from Piliocolobus tephrosceles (Ugandan red Colobus), 1148 nucleotides. RefSeq lists it as uncharacterized. The record is from RefSeq and is a predicted model, not a curated record. Lineage: Eukaryota; Metazoa; Chordata; Mammalia; Primates; Cercopithecidae. The transcript is spliced from 2 exons.
GAACUAUUUGAAUUAAAACAGAAUUGGUGUGUUUUCAACAGGAUGCAUUCAGUUUACUAGCAUAUUCAGAUCCCUGGAACAGCCCAGUUGGAAAUCAGCUUGACCCGAUUCAGAGAGAACCUGUGUGCUCAGCUCUUAACAGUGCAAUAUUAGAAACCCACAAUCUGCCAAAGCAACCUCCACUUGCCCUAGCAAUGGGACAGGCCACACAAUGUCUAGGACUGAUGGCUCGAUCAGGAAUUGGAUCCUGUGCAUUUGCCACAGUGGAAGACUACCUACAUUAGCUAUGCAUUUCAAGAGCUCACACUUAUAUCGUGGCAUAUAGUCAACAUGGAAGUAGACCAGCUCUGCUGAUUUGAAAUUUAGAUUUUUUAAAUUAUGUACUGGGGACAGGUUUUUGUCGCUUUACAUUGCUUCCUAGUUUACAGCAUGAUGCAAAUGAUUUUCUAACUUAGUGUUAGGAGAAAUUAUUUUCCAUCUUUAACCUCUUAGUUGUCUAAGAGUUAAAUAUUACUGAAUUUCAGACGUUCAAAUUGAUCAUCACAAAUCCUUUAAAACAAUUACCUAAAAGAAACCAAAAAUCCUGCCUUCUUUGUGGGGGAGGGGGGAGAGAGGGGAAGGAAAUGGAACAAGUUGUGUUUGUGUUAGCAUGUGGGUGAUGUAAACUUCAAAUUGGGAGAUGUUCCGACCCCCACUCCCAUAUAAGCAUUCAAUCAGUGUAACUUGCAAAAUGCAUAAACAUCCGACAGUUUGAAUUUAUAGUGUUGAUGGAAGAAAUCAUUUUUAAUGUGUACUGUAAAACUUGAAAUACUCAGGAGCUGAGUGAAUAUGUUUGUUGCUACUUACAAUCCCGACCUGUUAGUCCCAGUAGUUUUGUUUUAACAUGGUCUUUUUCAACUUUGUUUCCUGUUUAACUACAGAUGACUUCUGUUGUAGACUCACAAGUUUAACUGUUGUAUUAUAACAGUAUUACAUGUCAACGGUGUGGUUAUGACCUUUAUUUAUAUAAAAACCAAAUAUUUAGUCAAUUUACCGUGUCUUAAUUUAAUCUUUGUACACCUUCCAUUUUUAAGUGCUUAAAUGAGUACUAUAUUGCAAUAAAAUGUAGUGAUAUAAUUAACCAGCCAUUAAAAAUUUACUUCUACAGA